RNAcentral lists this transfer RNA (85 nucleotides) under Candidatus Omnitrophota bacterium. RNAcentral's name for it is "tRNA-Ser". It matches the Rfam family "tRNA". Rfam says of the family: Transfer RNA (tRNA) molecules are approximately 80 nucleotides in length. Their secondary structure includes four short double-helical elements and three loops (D, anti-codon, and T loops). The record is from RNAcentral. Lineage: Bacteria; Pseudomonadati; Candidatus Omnitrophota.
GGAAGGAUGGCAGAGCGGUUGAAUGCGGCGGUCUCGAAAACCGUUAGGCAGCAAUGCCUCGCAGGUUCGAAUCCUGCUCCUUCCG